Molecule: RNA transcript, 1924 nt
Organism: Salvelinus namaycush (lake trout)
Lineage: Eukaryota; Metazoa; Chordata; Actinopteri; Salmoniformes; Salmonidae
Gene: stard3nl
Gene name: STARD3 N-terminal like
Exons: 10
Source: RefSeq, a predicted model, not a curated record
AUUACAUUGACAGUUUAGUCUUCCGCAUAAUAUGCCAAAGACAGCGAGCGGGGUGUAAUAAGAAAACGAUAGGUAGCUAGCUAUACAAUUAAAGCUGAGGCAGGGAUGCAUCUGACAUCCAUCUGCAGUAAUCGUCACUGGAUGUGAUAAGUAGGCGGGCCUUCUGACCAGUCGACGGGGCCAAUACCUGCAAGCAGCAGGUGUGGGCACACCCCUUGAGUGGUGUGCGUUGCCAAAGCUCCUCGGCCUUUACUGUCAUUGGCUGUGACUGGAGGAGCAACCAAGUAGCUGACUGACGCUUCAUUAGUGGGUGGAGCCAGCCCAGAGUGAAAGGCGUGGCCAGUUAUGGAGAGCAUAAGUGGUAGCAGCGUGGACUCGAGAGCCACCCUUCGGGGCAUAAACACCACACCUCUCUUGGCCCGCAUAGAGUCUUAUGAGGCGAGCGAGAAGAAGUGUAUCUCUGAUGUCAGGAGGACAUUCUGCCUCUUUGUCACCUUUGACCUCCUCUUCAUCACCUUGCUCUGGAUCAUUGAGCUCAAUGUGAACGGAGGAAUCGAGAAGCAGCUCGAUAAGGAGGUUUUACACUAUGACUACCACGCCUCAUUCUUCGACAUAUUUCUCCUGGCUGUGUUGCGGUUUGCAGCCCUAAUCUUGGCCUAUGCUGUUUGUAAACUGCGUCACUGGUGGGCCAUAGCGAUAACCACAGCAACCACAAGUGCUUUCUUGAUCGCAAAAGUCAUUUUAUCAAAGCUCCUUUCCCAGGGGGCCUUUGGGUACCUGCUGCCCAUCAUCUCUUUCGUCCUGGCCUGGAUAGAGACGUGGCUACUAGACUUUAAGGUCCUACCUCAGGAGGCUGACGAUGAGAACAGAUUUCUUUCUAUAAUGGACGCCCCUGAAAGGGCCCCCUUCAUGCAACCAGGACCACUUUCAGAUGGGCAGUUCUACUCCCCACCCGAGUCUGUGGCAGACUCUGAUGAGGAGCUGCUGGAUGAUAAACACGACACGGAGAAGGCUCUUAUUUAGCAGGCCAGCCGAAGUUUGGGAGCCGACAUAUACGCCCCAUGGUCUGAGAUUUGUUAACGUACCAGUGGUCAUCCUGGAAGGUGGAACCCAUUUGAAGAUUCACAACUUUGAGUGACUGCAUCUGAAGUGCUCACAGCAGCUGCCCCAUCGAACCACGGGGAAGACUUACGACCACUGCAUGUUCUGUAUUCCUCCACUGAGAGAUCGACAUUCCUCAGCCUAUCACCCUCUACACACCUGCUUCAUAUCCCGUCGCCUCUUCACUCAAGCUUCCAAACAGUUGUUUUUAAAGAACUGAGUGCCAACUGUUUUAUUUGUUGUCGUCGCCAGAUAUAAGUUCCUAAUGUGCUUAUUCUUCUAUCUCUUGCUGAUAGGGUUAGAAGCUUCAAAAGUUUCCGAAUUGAAGACUGAGAAGUCAGCAUGGGCAGUGUGUGCCAAUUUCAAGUGUGGCUACAGGGCUGUUGAGCCCUAAGGAUGGCACUUUAAUAUAAAUAGAUUACUCAGAAAAAAACGUAUUGAUAUUAAACAAACUCCUUUGGACAACUGUCAAGGGGGAAAAUAUAAUAGACUACAUAACCAACAAAGCUGUGCCUGCAUAUGUAACAACUUCAGUUGGUGAUCUAUAUAUGUCUGAAUGCAUGACUUUGGGAACUCAAUGAUGCAAUGUUUUUUUGAUUUCUUCUUAUGAUUAUGACCUCUCUUCAUCAUAGGAAAGGAAGAAAUUGUAUACAGCACCUUUUUUUAUCACUGGAAAGUGUUAUACCGUUUGUUUUCUAUGCUGACCAUUUGGAAGUAGAAGGGCAUUAGCCCGGAAGCUUCUUAGUAAACUUUCCACUUGGCUUUGCAAAUUGUAUCAAUAUACAAAUAAAAAAAAUGGCAGAAUACAUUUCCCAUGAAUUCA